This 429-nucleotide ribosomal RNA is filed under the name Gemmatimonadota bacterium. RNAcentral's name for it is "Gemmatimonadetes bacterium partial 16S ribosomal RNA". It matches the Rfam family "Bacterial small subunit ribosomal RNA", at positions 355 to 776 of the family's 1533-position model. The record is from RNAcentral. Lineage: Bacteria; Pseudomonadati; Gemmatimonadota.
UAGGGAAUCUUCGGCAAUGGACGAAAGUCUGACCGAGCAACGCCGCGUGAGUGAAGAAGGUUUUCGGAUCGUAAAACUCUGUUGUUAGAGAAGAACAAGGACGUUAGUAACUGAACGUCCCCUGACGGUAUCUAACCAGAAAGCCACGGCUAACUACGUGCCAGCAGCCGCGGUAAUACGUAGGUGGCAAGCGUUGUCCGGAUUUAUUGGGCGUAAAGCGAGCGCAGGCGGUUUCUUAAGUCUGAUGUGAAAGCCCCCGGCUCAACCGGGGAGGGUCAUUGGAAACUGGGGGACUUGAGUGCAGAAGAGGAGAGUGGAAUUCCAGGGGUAGCGGUGAAAUGCGUAGAUAUAUGGGGGAACACCAGUGGCGAAGGCGGCUCUCUGGUCUGUAACUGACGCUGAGGCUCGAAAGCGUGGGGAGCAAACAGG